Molecule: ribosomal RNA, 270 nt
Filed under: Rhizonema sp. 'cyanobiont of Cora caliginosa'
Lineage: Bacteria; Bacillati; Cyanobacteriota; Cyanophyceae; Nostocales; Rhizonemataceae
Also listed under: 9 other names
Description: partial 16S ribosomal RNA
Rfam family: Bacterial small subunit ribosomal RNA
Source: RNAcentral
GAUGAACGCUGGCGGUAUGCUUAACACAUGCAAGUCGAACGGUCUCUUAGGAGAUAGUGGCGGACGGGUGAGUAACGCGUGAGAAUCUGGCUCUAGGUCUGGGACAACCACUGGAAACGGUGGCUAAUACCGGGUGUGCCGAAAGGUGAAAGGUUAACUGCCUGGAGAUGAGCUCGCGUCUGAUUAGCUAGUUGGUAGGGUAAAAGCUUACCAAGGCGACGAUCAGUAGCUGGUCUGAGAGGACGAUCAGCCACACUGGGACUGAGACAC